Molecule: long non-coding RNA, 744 nt
Organism: Brassica oleracea var. oleracea
Lineage: Eukaryota; Viridiplantae; Streptophyta; Magnoliopsida; Brassicales; Brassicaceae
Exons: 2
Source: RefSeq, a predicted model, not a curated record
ACUCUCUCCUCGUAUCUUGUUUCUUUCUUUCUCUACCACACAUAUCAUCUUCUCUUUGACAACAACAGAAUAAAUGUCCCAACCAACACUAGGAGAGCCAUCACAAAUCCUUCCUCUUGGUUUGUCCAUUCUAUGAUCUCGUUUUAAACAGCUUCUCUCUCUAUCUUUAACAAAGGUUUCUUCUCUUCCAUACUCAUGCCCUACGUCACUUCAGAUCUCAAGAUCGCAAUUAUCUUUUUUACUUUCAGAGCAAAGCAUAGUAAAAUGAUUGAUUACAUACUCGGUAAAAGCCUUCAGAAUAUGAGUUAUAUUUUGAGUACCACUCCCCCCAAAACCCACAAUAUAACUCAUGUUCUGUGGGUUUUUACCGAGUAUGGAGGAAAUCUCGAGAUUUGUGUAUGAUUGCUGCUAGGGAGAGCAAAGAAGAGGCUCUUUAUGGUUCAGAUAUGGUUCAUGGUUUGGUGAAUGUGGAUUUUGCUGGGUGUGAGGCCUAUUUGUCGUCCUGAGUCCUGGCCAGCUUCUUAAGUGUCGGCUUGCUAUUAUUUUAAGGGAACUAUUCGUGGUGGUGGAUAUUUACAUCUGUUGCUUUCCCACUUGAUCAUCCUUUUCAGCUCAUCAUGGAUCUUUAUGUCGAUUUUUUACUUAUGAAUUAACUCCAUUCCCUAAGUGGUUUCUGCUUAACUCCAUUCCCUAUGUACAUCAAUUAUAUGGAAUCAGAUGUAGAAACACUAUUUUAUUUGUCCU